CAAGGUCUUCCUCACAGUAGC
This 21-nucleotide microRNA is filed under the name Rattus norvegicus (Norway rat). RNAcentral's name for it is "rno-miR-679". Its record names the gene rno-miR-679. The record is from miRBase by way of RNAcentral. Lineage: Eukaryota; Metazoa; Chordata; Mammalia; Rodentia; Muridae.